This 89-nucleotide non-coding RNA is filed under the name Paenibacillus pectinilyticus. RNAcentral describes it as "c-di-GMP sequence". It matches the Rfam family "c-di-GMP-I riboswitch aptamer". From Rfam's summary of the family: GEMM was predicted in a large-scale screen for bacterial structured RNA regulatory elements. Genes associated with GEMM are involved in a diverse array of functions, including chemotaxis regulation, signal transduction, secretion and chitin. The record is from Rfam by way of RNAcentral. Lineage: Bacteria; Bacillati; Bacillota; Bacilli; Caryophanales; Paenibacillaceae.
GUUCGACAAUGGCAAACUUGCUGAAAGGCAAGGACGCAAAGCUGAGGGUCUACGGUUCUUUUACGAACUAUGGCAGCCUGGUUACCGAA